RNAcentral lists this ribosomal RNA (224 nucleotides) under uncultured bacterium. RNAcentral describes it as "partial 16S ribosomal RNA". It matches the Rfam family "Bacterial small subunit ribosomal RNA", at positions 93 to 334 of the family's 1533-position model. The record is from RNAcentral.
CAGUGGCGCACGGGUGAGUAACGCGUGGAUAUCUGCCUUUUGGUUCGGAAUAACCCCGGGAAACUGGGGCUAAUACCGGAUGGUUCCUUCGGGAUAAAGAUUUAUCGCCAAAAGAUGAGUCCGCGUACGAUUAGCUAGUUGGUGAGGUAAUGGCUCACCAAGGCGACGAUCGUUAGCUGGUCUGAGAGGACGAUCAGCCACACUGGGACUGAGACACGGCCCAG